UGUACAGCUUCUCUCCGGGCACACAGUCGACCAUCACACACAGUUGGUUGGUUGUCUCUCUCUAUCGACACAUAUCCUGCUGGCGCUCCACGACGCGUUGAUAGAAAUUCAUUUGUUUCCCGGCCAACUUUCACGUUUUUAGAAUUUGCCGUUUUUUUACCGCAGCCGCCAAUUCAUUUGUCUUUGGCACUAUUAUGUACGUAUUCGUUAAUUACGCCCUUGAACUUCUCGUCCUCGAGAAUUACGGAAAAGAUGUCUGGGAGCAAAUCAAGAAAGAAGCCGAAGUCAACAUUGAAGGUCAUUUCCUUGUCCGACAAAUCUACGAGGACGACGUGACUUAUUAUAACAUCAUCAUCGUCGGAGCAGCUGAACGUGUUCUCAGUAAGUCCUCAAUUCUUUAUUAAUACAUCAGCAGCUAUAUGUAGGAGGAGGAUAAUAGAAAUUGCAUUCCAUUUGAUGAAUUCCAUGGAAUGCCUCUUAUUCGUCUUCUUCUUCUUCCUUAAUAUUUGAUUAUGUGAAAUCAACUCGAAUGUGCAGAAGUGCCAGCCAAUCGGUAAAGAUGACAUAAAGUGCGUCAUAUUAGCCUUUUUCGCGUCGUUGUAGCUUUCAUUUAAAUUGACGUUUGUACUUUUACAAUCCCUGACCCAAAAUGAGGUGAAUAAACUUCCUCCCUUAUCCUCAA
Molecule: long non-coding RNA, 682 nt
Organism: Daphnia pulex (common water flea)
Lineage: Eukaryota; Metazoa; Arthropoda; Branchiopoda; Diplostraca; Daphniidae
Exons: 4
Source: RefSeq, a predicted model, not a curated record